AUGAACACUCAGACCUCCGCUCCCUUUGCCACCACUGUGGACCCUCGCGCCGAAAAUCGCUUCUGGGGCGGUGGUCACCAGAAACAAGAAUUGGACACACCAUCAUGUUCGUCUCAAACUCCUCUACACGAAUAUCCUAUUGAUUUUUCCAAAUUCCAACCCUAGCUCACUAACCGUAUAGCUCCCUCAAGAACCCUAAAAAUCAAAUCCUAAAUUAAAUCCUAAAUAUGAGGAUUCAAAGCCCCGGGUUGGGGCUUUGAAUCAUCUCUCCACCCUCUACAUCUCAGUAAUGAAGGCAAGCAACGAAUUUGAAUGAAAAUUAACCUCUGCAAUAGAGUAUCAACAAUGCCGGAAUCGAAUGGCAAGAAAAUACCAGAGACACUUCAAGGGAGUUCCAUUUUGCUCAGGUUCAUGCAUGCCACGUUCUGACUUUGGCUCAUGCAAGUCAUUUGGACAAUGUACCAUCAAGAUUGGAUCUUGGACUAUCAUGUACAAAAUGCAAGCAUUCAAAGGUCAAGGAUCAAAGAAUGAAGAUUAGGGAUGGAAAUAGGAUUAGGGUUAGGAAAAUUAGGGUUUUUGGGAAUUGGGUUGACUUUGGUCAAAGUUGACCAAAAAGUCAAUUGUUGACCAAAGUCAACAUUUGGUCAAAGUUCACCCUUUUUGUAUUUUCUCAUGUAAUGGACACUUUUAUGGUUUAUGAAUGGAAAUUGAUGUUUUUAUGAAUGAAAUGGAUUGGAUAUUGAAUUAAA
This is a long non-coding RNA of Lathyrus oleraceus (garden pea), 749 nucleotides long. RefSeq lists it as uncharacterized. NCBI's taxonomy places the organism in Eukaryota, Viridiplantae, Streptophyta, Magnoliopsida, Fabales, Fabaceae. The transcript is spliced from 2 exons. The record is from RefSeq and is a predicted model, not a curated record.